Molecule: ribosomal RNA, 561 nt
Filed under: uncultured Verticillium
Lineage: Eukaryota; Fungi; Ascomycota; Sordariomycetes; Hypocreales
Description: eukaryotic LSU rRNA
Rfam family: 5.8S ribosomal RNA (bases 175-328)
Source: RNAcentral
UCUCCGUUGGUGAACCAGCGGAGGGAUCAUUACCGAGUACUAUAACUCAUAACCCUUUGUGAACCUUCAUACCUGUUGCUUCGGCGGCGCGCCUCCCGGGGCGUGCCCGCCGGCAUUAUCAGAAUCUCUGUUCGAACCCGACGAUACUUCUGAGUGUUCUAAGCGAACUGUUAAAACUUUCAACAACGGAUCUCUUGGCUCCAGCAUCGAUGAAGAACGCAGCGAAACGCGAUAUGUAAUGUGAAUUGCAGAAUUCAGUGAAUCAUCGAAUCUUUGAACGCACAUGGCGCCUUCCAGUAUCCUGGGAGGCAUGCCUGUCCGAGCGUCGUUUCAACCCUCGAGCCCCCGUGGCCCGGCGUUGGGGACCUGCCCAGGCAGUCCCCGAAAACCAGUGGCGGACCCGACGGGCCCUUCCUUUGCGUAGUAACAUCUGCCUCGCAUCGGGAGCCCCCGGGCUAUCCGGCCUCUAAACCCCCCUCAAGCCCGCUCCGGCGGCACCAAGGUUGACCUCGGAUCAGGUAGGAAUACCCGCUGAACUUAAGCAUAUCAAUAAGCGGAGGA